Molecule: long non-coding RNA, 2193 nt
Organism: Anguilla anguilla (European eel)
Lineage: Eukaryota; Metazoa; Chordata; Actinopteri; Anguilliformes; Anguillidae
Exons: 2
Source: RefSeq, a predicted model, not a curated record
AGUUUUGCCCGCUCUAAAUUAGGGCCUAUUCUGAAUUAGGGCCUACUCUAAAAGCAAUGAAGCUUGGUGAGUCUGUGGUUCGUGCUGGAUCGUGAGGGAGACAGCGCAAUUUAAACUACUGCUACUAACUAAUCAAAUAGUGCCGUGUUACAAAACAGUUGUUUCAUGACUAUGAGUGAAAUCUAUAAAACAAAGUGUUCCGCGUGUCAACAACUUUGCUUGCUUGUGAGAUCUACUUGUUUGUUUUAAUGGCCGCAAUGUCGUAUUUGCUCCCGAAAAAAUAUUCCACGGCACCGGUACAUUAGUUUCCAACAAUAUAACUUGCCAUUGACCUCAUCUGAGAGAGCCAUGGAGAGGAAAAUAUGAGCAAAAUGGCAGGGGAAAAAACAUGGAUGUUGGACACGAAUGGAAGACCUGUUUAUUGAACUUUGGAAGACCAGUGUUAGUGGGCUAUCCUCAAGAGACCAAGCAACCAAGGAAAAGCAACGAUAGCUAUAAGCAACGCAUUUCAAGCGGAGGACGCCGAUUCUUAGACAUUGUGCCGUCGGACUGAGCCAAUAAUGGGGCUCGCACGGAUGGCUUCGGGCAGCCGCUGUCACAUGAUGUGGUGGCGAACGUCCUGCCUACGUUAACCACCACCACCUCUGGGUGACAGUAAUGUCCGGAUGUGUGUAAUGCUGUAGCGCUCUUCAGUACUGGCAAGGGUCAGAAUUCCAUUCCAGAAUCUGAGGUGUUGGUUCACCAAGGGCUAAUCCUUGGAACCCACCAUCCAGGAGCCAACGUUGACAUGUUAAUGUAAUGCAGAACUAAUAAGCAGUAGACUGUGUAAGCUGCCUUAUUUCGCAUUUCGGGGGGAUUUGAGUAUGAACACUGGAUAUUAACCACUAAUAGCAGGCGGGUUGCAUUUCAUAAGACGUGGCUUAGUCUUGAUUUGACUUGACGUGUUUCGCAAUUCUCUCUUAAUAAGCGUUUCACUCUGCCCUUGACUCCACUUCUUGCCAUGGCUAUUGACUGCCCUUCCUUUUCCGCAGUCAGUUGAAGUGCAGUUUUGUUUGGUAAUGUGUCAAGAGCCUUGCAGGGAGGGGCCUCUUAGUGGGGGAAAAAAUAUUUUUUCUUUUGUUCUCCGUGUCAUUUAAAUCCUUCUACUGCAGUCAGAGCAAAGCCUUAGCUGACCACUUUAAAAAUUUUUUUUUUUUUUUUUUUUUUUUUUGCAAACUUCCAACAAAGGUUAGGGCAGCACACAGCAACUGGAUCAAAUUCCUUAAGUACAGUCAGGGAUACUUUAAACAGUCUCCAGUGUUCCCCUUAAAAGGUCAUUGAGCAAAUGUUAAACUCCAGCCAAUGCACAAAAGAGUCAAGCAACAAUAGAAACUAAACUUUUCACACACAGAUGCUGUCAAGGAUAGGGAACUGACACACAGCCUCAGGAAUACAUCCCUGAGAAAUUCUAUAAUGAUUUAAUUCUAAUUUAAUUCUUAACUCUUUAGAAUGGUAUCAAGAAAGAAAGAAAGAAAGAAAAAGAAAGAAAAAGAAAGAAAAAGGAAAGAAAACACCAUUGAAGGAAGGAAGAAAGAAAGAAGGAAAGCAGGGAAGAAAGAGAAAAAAAACGCCACUGAUAAUAUUUAGUUUGAAUAUCCACUGGAGAGAGCUACAUUAAGACCUGCUUCUGCAUGCACACAUUUUAUUUCUUUUCAUUUAGAUUCUGUACACAGCACAGCGUUUGGUUUGCACAGACAUAUUUUAUUUUGUAAUGGCACGGCAAGCUGUCAGCGAUUCGAGUUGUUUCUGUAUUAAGACAGAACACUAUCCAGGGGUUUGAAAAAUGUCCUCAUAUCAAGCCCGUGGUAUGUGACGAGCUGAAGUUUCUUUCUGAAAUUUUGCUGCUACGGCCGUGGCUGUUUUUCCCCUCAUAUUGUUAUGAUCCAUUUCCCUUCAUUGGUCUCCAAUAAGCUUUUGUAUUCUUUGCAGAACCCCACUCUGAAAUUGCUUUCCAUUGCAACUUACUUAGCCCAUUAAUGUAAGCUAUUACUGAGCUCGCAUGUUUCUAUGGCAACAAAACUGAUAAAGUGCACCAGGAGACUGAAAUGAUAGAUUGCAUGUGCAUGCUGUGUCAUAUCCAAUUAACUCAAAUUGACUGUGUACCACAUUAUGCCACUGCUCUGAGGAAGAUCAAUAAAUAUGGACAGAACCCAA